UACGUAGGGGGCAAGCGUUGUCCGGAUUUAUUGGGCGUAAAGAGCGUGUAGGCGGUUUGGUAGGUCCGCUGUGAAAACUCGAGGCUCAACCUCGAGACGCCGGUGGAAACCAUCAGACUAGAGUCCGGAAGAGGAGAGUGGAAUUCCCGGUGUAGCGGUGAAAUGCGCAGAUAUCGGGAAGAACACCUAUGGCGAAGGCAGCUCUCUGGGACGGUACUGACGCUGAGACGCGAAAGCGUGGGGAGCGAACAGG
RNAcentral lists this ribosomal RNA (253 nucleotides) under uncultured bacterium. RNAcentral describes it as "partial 16S ribosomal RNA". It matches the Rfam family "Bacterial small subunit ribosomal RNA", at positions 524 to 776 of the family's 1533-position model. The record is from RNAcentral.